AGGGAAUCUUCGGCAAUGGGCGAAAGCCUGACCGAGCAACGCCGCGUGAGCGAUGAAGGCCUUCGGGUCGUAAAGCUCUGUUGUUAAGGAAGAACAAGUACGAGAGUAACUGCUCGUACCUUGACGGUACUUAACGAGAAAGCCACGGCUAACUACGUG
RNAcentral lists this ribosomal RNA (159 nucleotides) under uncultured Bacillus sp. Its description in RNAcentral is "partial 16S ribosomal RNA". It matches the Rfam family "Bacterial small subunit ribosomal RNA", at positions 356 to 507 of the family's 1533-position model. The record is from RNAcentral. Lineage: Bacteria; Bacillati; Bacillota; Bacilli; Caryophanales; Bacillaceae.